UAACAUGAGAGUUUGAUCCUGGCUCAGGAUGAACGCUGGCGGCGUGCUUAACACAUGCAAGUCGAACGAAGCACACUUCUUCGGAGGUGUGACUGAGUGGCGGACGGGUGAGUAACGCGUGGGUAACCUGCCCCAUACAGGGGGAUAACAGCCGGAAACGGCUGCUAAUACCGCAUAAGCGCACAGGACCGCAUGGUCUGGUGUGAAAAACUGAGGUGGUAUGGGAUGGACCCGCGUCUGAUUAGCUGGUUGGCGGGGUAACGGCCCACCAAGGCGACGAUCAGUAGCCGGCUUGAGAGAGUG
RNAcentral lists this ribosomal RNA (303 nucleotides) under Lachnospiraceae bacterium. RNAcentral's name for it is "partial 16S ribosomal RNA". It matches the Rfam family "Bacterial small subunit ribosomal RNA", at positions 1 to 302 of the family's 1533-position model. The record is from RNAcentral. Lineage: Bacteria; Bacillati; Bacillota; Clostridia; Lachnospirales; Lachnospiraceae.